RNAcentral lists this ribosomal RNA (740 nucleotides) under Klebsiella ornithinolytica. RNAcentral's name for it is "Raoultella ornithinolytica partial 16S ribosomal RNA". It matches the Rfam family "Bacterial small subunit ribosomal RNA", at positions 697 to 1431 of the family's 1533-position model. Lineage: Bacteria; Pseudomonadati; Pseudomonadota; Gammaproteobacteria; Enterobacterales; Enterobacteriaceae. The record is from RNAcentral.
UCUGGAGGAAUACCNGGUGGNGAAGGCGGCCCCCNNGGACAAAGACUGACGNNNNAGGNNCGAAAAGCGUGGGGGAGCAAACAGGAUUAGAUACCNUGGUAGUCCACGNNGUAAACGAUGUNGACUNGGAGGUUGUUCCCNNGAGGAGUGGNUUCCGGAGCUAACNGCGUUAAGUCGACCGCCUGGGGAGUACGGCCGCAAGGUUAAAACUCAAAUGAAUUGACGGGGGCCCGCACAAGCGGUGGAGCAUGUGGUUUAAUUCGAUGCAACGCGAAGAACCUUACCUACUCUUGACAUCCAGAGAACUUAGCAGAGAUGCUUUGGUGCCUUCGGGAACUCUGAGACAGGUGCUGCAUGGCNGUCGUCAGCUCGUGUUGUGAAAUGUUGGGUUAANUCCCGCAACGAGCGCAACCCUUAUCCUUUGUUGCCAGCGNUNCGGNCGGGAACUCAAAGGAGACUGCCAGUGAUAAACUGGAGGAAGGUGGGGAUGACGUCAAGUCAUCAUGGCCCUUACGAGUAGGGCUACACACGUGCUACAAUGGCAUAUACAAAGAGAAGCGACCUCGCGAGAGCAAGCGGACCUCAUAAAGUAUGUCGUAGUCCGGAUUGGAGUCUGCAACUCGACUCCAUGAAGUCGGAAUCGCUAGUAAUCGUAGAUCAGAAUGCUACGGUGAAUACGUUCCCGGGCCUUGUACACACCGCCCGUCACACCAUGGGAGUGGGUUGCAAAAGAAGUAGGU